Molecule: long non-coding RNA, 342 nt
Organism: Mustela erminea (ermine)
Lineage: Eukaryota; Metazoa; Chordata; Mammalia; Carnivora; Mustelidae
Exons: 2
Source: RefSeq, a predicted model, not a curated record
UGCCUGGUCCAUGGAGCUCUGUUACCACAUCCCCAGGAAAUGAUGUCGUUAUUUAUGACCAAACUCGGAAACCGUAGACAGAAUUCUGAGAGUGACAAUGAAGAGAUACUUAAGUAAGCAUAAGCUCUCCUGGAUGACUCUUUCAAGCUGAGAACAGCCCAGCACUACAGCCAUGAUCAUUGUUCAGCCGCUGUUUCCUCUUCCUUUUCUCUUUUUUUAUUAAGGAAAGUGUCAAACAUGCAGAACAGCAGGGUGGGAAGAACAGUGAAGCCCAUGUACCCAUCACUCAGCUUCAGCAAAUAGUGGCUUGUUUCAGCCACUCUAUUCAGUAGACACUUUCCA